AGUGAACGCUGGCGGUAGGCCUAACACAUGCAAGUCGAACGGCAGCACAGUAAGAGCUUGCUCUUACGGGUGGCGAGUGGCGGACGGGUGAGGAAUACAUCGGAAUCUACUUUUUCGUGGGGGAUAACGUAGGGAAACUUACGCUAAUACCGCAUACGACCUACGGGUGAAAGCAGGGGAUCUUCGGACCUUGCGCGAUUGAAUGAGCCGAUGUCGGAGUAGCUAGUUGGCGGGGUAAAGGCCCACCAAGGCGACGAUCCGUAGCUGGUCUGAGAGGAUGAUCAGCCACACUGGAACUGAGACACGGUCCAGACUCCUACGGGAGGCAGCAGUGGGGAAUAUUGGACAAUGGGCGCAAGCCUGAUCCAGCCAUACCGCGUGGGUGAAGAGGGCCUUCGGGUUGUAAAGCCCUUUUGUUGGGAAAGAAAAGCAGCAGGUUAAUACCCCGCUGUUCUGACGGUACCCAAAGAAUAAGCACCGGCUAACUUCGUG
This 492-nucleotide ribosomal RNA is filed under the name uncultured bacterium. RNAcentral describes it as "partial 16S ribosomal RNA". It matches the Rfam family "Bacterial small subunit ribosomal RNA", at positions 29 to 507 of the family's 1533-position model. The record is from RNAcentral.